AUUGAACGCUGGCGGCAGGCCUAACACAUGCAAGUCGAACGAGUGGCGGCAGGGUGAGUAAUGUCUGGGAAACUGCCUGAUGGAGGGGGAUAACUACUGGAAACGGUAGCUAAUACAGCAUACACUCGGAAGUGCGCAGGUGGGAUUAGCUAGUAGGUGGGGUAAUGGCUCACCUAGGCGACGAUCCCUAGCUGGUCUGAGAGGAUGACCAGCCACAAUGGAACUGAGACACGGUCCAGACUCCUCCGGGAGGAAGCAGUGGGGAAUAUUGCACAAUGGGCGCAAGCCUGAUGCAGCCAUGCCGCGUGUAUGAAGAAGGCCUUCGGGUUGUAAAGUACUUUCAGCGGGGAGGCGUUACCCGCAGAAGAAGCACCGGCUAACUCCGUGCCAGCAGCCGCGGUAAUUC
This 406-nucleotide ribosomal RNA is filed under the name uncultured bacterium. RNAcentral's name for it is "partial 16S ribosomal RNA". It matches the Rfam family "Bacterial small subunit ribosomal RNA", at positions 30 to 526 of the family's 1533-position model. The record is from RNAcentral.